RNAcentral lists this ribosomal RNA (406 nucleotides) under uncultured bacterium. RNAcentral's name for it is "partial 16S ribosomal RNA". It matches the Rfam family "Bacterial small subunit ribosomal RNA", at positions 28 to 526 of the family's 1533-position model. The record is from RNAcentral.
GAUGAACGCUAGCUACAGGCUUAACACAUGCAAGUCGAGGGACCGGCGCCCGGGUGAGUAACACGUAUCCAACCUGCCCUUUACUCGGGGAUAGCCUUUCGAAAGAAAGAUUAAUACCCGAUGUAAAGGAUGGGGAUGCGUUCCAUUAGGUUGUUGGUGAGGUAACGGCUAACCAAGCCUUCGAUGGAUAGGGGUUCUGAGAGUAAGGUCCCCCACAUUGGAACUGAGACACGGUCCAAACGCCUACGGGAUGCAGCAGUGAGGAAGAGUGGGCAAUGGGCGUUAGCCUGAACCAGCCAAGUAGCGUGAAGGAUGAAGGCUUAUGGGUCGUAAACUUCUUGUAUAUAAGAAUAUGUAUUAUAUGAAUAAGGAUCGGCUAACUCCGUGCCAGCCGCCGCGGUAAUUC